This is a long non-coding RNA of Alexandromys fortis (reed vole), 1035 nucleotides long. RefSeq lists it as uncharacterized. The transcript has 5 exons. The record is from RefSeq and is a predicted model, not a curated record. NCBI's taxonomy places the organism in Eukaryota, Metazoa, Chordata, Mammalia, Rodentia, Cricetidae.
CUCUGUGGGCACCAUGCAUGUAAUUGGUGCACAGACAUACAUGCAAGCAAACUAUCCAGACACAUGAAACAUAAAAAUUUGAAAAGUAAAAUCUCGAUGGUGCUUUCGCAGGAUUUUUAUGGCACAUGGAUGAACGUGUCAUUAGAGAACGCACUGGCCUUGUCUCUGUCUUGAAUUAUCAUCGGGUCUGAAGGGCUUCAACUGCCACUGAAGCGCCGGACAGAUAGUGUCACCUGCCAGCAGGAAGUCAGCACUCGGCAUAUUCCCUGGACCGAUGGCGUGUUUGGUAACGAUCUGAUGGUGAUGGUGAUGAGGGUGAGGAUGAUGGUGGCCAUGGCGGUGAGGAUGACGAAAAAUCCACAGGCCUUCUGCAAUGAGUUUGUGUACCCUGCCUAGCGAGUCCUACACAUCACAGAUGUUAACAAUGAUGACGGACGCAGUUGCUGAAGCAGGAAGGUGUGGGGGCCGGAUACGAGGCUAAUCAGUAGUUCUACUUCCAGAAGGAGCCGGAUCUUGGGUAGAAUGCAGGUAUGCCUGACUCUGACCCAUGCAUCAGUGCUUUGGACCAGUUCAGAGAUGUGAUGGACUCGCUGCCCAGGGCUUCUGACACAAGGGCUCCUGUGCCGUGAUGGACUUCACCCUUCAACUGUGGCUCCUUUCUCGACUUUGCAGGCGCAGGAAAAGCAACUAAACAUUCCCAAGGUUCCGCGGGAUACUGAAGUUCAGAGGAGUCAACCCAUUAUCUGCCCCAUGUCACAGACCUCCCACUCAGUGGAGCCUGUGUUCAAAUCCUGUCAGCCUGAUUCAGACGUCAAGAUCUCAUCCAACCCCUGCUGCAUCCAGAGUUUUGUGAUCCUGAGGAAACAGGCUCUGGCUUGCGUUGGGAAUGCGGGAGUGAUGCAUGGGCCGGCUGAAGAAGGGAGAGGUGUGACUCAGCCACUGAGGUUGUUUUGUGGGAGGACCCAGCAAUUUUUCUUUGUGAUGGGAGCUCGCUGGAAGCAAUUUAGAUAUGAAGCAACUUCUGUUUGGUGCAUA